AGCCCCGAGGUGUACGACAUGUCGGAUUGCAAAUCCGAAGUGGCAGAGUAAAUCCUGCCGGGGCUU
Molecule: transfer RNA, 66 nt
Filed under: Acanthemblemaria spinosa (spinyhead blenny)
Lineage: Eukaryota; Metazoa; Chordata; Actinopteri; Blenniiformes; Chaenopsidae
Description: tRNA-Cys
Source: RNAcentral